Leopardus geoffroyi (Geoffroy's cat) is the source of this 133-nucleotide small nucleolar RNA. RefSeq annotates it as small nucleolar RNA SNORA70. The transcript has a single exon. The record is from RefSeq and is a predicted model, not a curated record. Lineage: Eukaryota; Metazoa; Chordata; Mammalia; Carnivora; Felidae.
CUGCAGUACUUACGCUGACUCACCCGCCUCCUGGUGAGGGAUCCUUGGGCAGUGGCUACAAAAAGCAGAUUCUGUGGUUGUGUAUGCAGCUCAUUCCUUUUAGGUGUUGCUGUAAGGGACCUUGGGGGCCGUG